Molecule: long non-coding RNA, 6914 nt
Filed under: Homo sapiens (human)
Lineage: Eukaryota; Metazoa; Chordata; Mammalia; Primates; Hominidae
Description: HSALNT0191456
Source: RNAcentral
UUUCCUUCCUGGAUUCCAGAAUCUUUGUAACAAGUGUAAGUUUGGAACCAACUGACUGAGCUUGCUCUGUCUCUCUCUCUCUCUCUUCCUCCCUUCCUCCCUUCCUUUCUUCCUUUCUUCUUUCCAUGUAGUCUUCCUCUGUCACCCAGGCUGGAGUGCAGUGGGCAAUCUCAGUUCACUGCAACCUCUGCAAGCAAUUCUCCUUACUCUGCCUUUGGAGUAGCUGGGAUUAUGGGUGUGCACCACCAUGCCCAGCUAAUUUUUGUAGUUUUAGUAGAGAUGGGGUUUCACCAUGUUUGCCAGGCUGGUCUCAAACCCCUGGCCUCAAGUGAUCUGCCUGUCUCUGCAUCCCAAAAUGUUGGGAUUACAGGCAUGAGCCACCGCACCCCGCCAGAGUGAUUCAAGUUGACAGAUUCAGAGUAAGAAAAGAACUUCCAGGUUAAACAAUCUUUGCGUUGUUUUCGGCAUAUCCAUCAGAAAAUCCAGCUAAGAAGUUUAAUUGGCCAGCAAAAAAAUUGGUGAUAUCAUCAAAUAUGUGGAAGUUGAAGCCUUAGGAUUAAAUGAGUUUCCUAAAGAAAAUGCUGAGAAUGAAGAAAAGAAUCAAACACUGGGGAUAUUCACAAUUCAAAGCGAUUCUGAGACAAACUUUACUGAAGAUAUAUCUGAGGGGGAAAAAAAGCAUAACCAGAAAAGAACGAAGAGAAAAUGCAAUCCAAGAGAGAUCUUUCAAGGUAAACAAACAAAAGCUUUGAUGAUGUCUAUUUUUAUCAGAAAAAUGAAAUAGAAGAAUCUAUUUACAGUAUUUAGCAGCACAGAUGACAAUGGUAAUAUUUGUUAAGGCAAAUUCAACAAUGGGAGCAGUUGCCACAGUUUACCACGUGGAAGUUGAAGGAAAGAAGGAAAUAGAGUGAAUAGCUUAUGAAGAAUAUUCUUUGAAGGAUAUUGGCUUUGAAGAGUAGUGAUACUAUUGUCACUAGAAGGACAAAAUAGUUAAUGGUGACUUUUUUCCCUCUAAAUAUGGAGAUUUAUUAUAAGCUAUUUGCUGUAAAAAAAAAAAAAAAAUAAUAGAGUGUGACAGACUUGGCAUCCAGGAAAGGAUGUACUAAACCAGUAGAUCAAAUCCCUUAAGGAAGAAAAGAUGGCAUGCUCAAGAGCACAGAGGAGAGAUGAGUCUUGAAUAGAAACAGACACCUCUUCCCUAGAUACUGGGAAAAAGAGUUGACAUGUGAUUGCAGUGUUAGCGUGUGAUACUGGACUUCACAGAAGUCUAUGCUGUAGAGUUUACAUUAAGGAACUUAAAUAGGGAACAUCCUGUUUUAUAAGAUUAUUUUGAGGAUGGAGCACAACACACUGACAUUCAAAAGGUUAAAGGUAAAACUGUUUGCCACAAACAGCUCUGAACAAGAAGGCUGCCCAGCAGGGUCACAAAAGGAUUGCAUCUGAGGACAGUGUAACAGCAAGCUGGAGCUAUAGGAGGUAGCUAAUGUAUGUCAAGUGGGGUGUGAUUAGCUAGACUUUGUAGACUCCUUACAAAUUGGCUAAUUUAAAUAAUUUCUUAGGCUCUGGGAUAUAGGGGAUAUAGUCCCUACUUGUCUGUUCUAUAGCCCUGGGGCAAUUAGAGAUAGUCCAGUAGUCAGGAGUAUAAAAGCCUGAGAAGGAAAGUGUUUGAGAUGUGGACUUAAUCAAUCAGCUGCUGAAGGAGGACUGACCUACCUCUAGCCAAGGGUUCACAACUGGAUCAAGACAGUAUUAAUAAAAAUAUACCAUAUUUCACUUAUGAAGAAAGAUAAGAUUUCAGAAGGUAUCUCACAUGUAUCCUGGAUGAUUGAGUAAGAAAUAUGACAAAAAAUACAGCUGACAUUUUCAGGAAGGAUUUUGAACAUUGUGCAUAUGUUAUUUCAAUCUUUGCUGCCAUACAAGGUAAAUAAUAUUAUCUGUUUCAAAGAUGAGGUAUCUGAGGCACAGAGAUGUUAAGUAGCUCGUUAAAAGUACUGUAUUGCAGAUAAAGGAGCCAAGACAGUGUUAACCUUAGAGCUCAGACUUUUAACUUCUUUUCUCCUAGUGAUACCCACUAAGUGCUUAAUGUCUUGCUUAGAUGGAAAUUAUAUCAACUGUAAAGUUAUCAUUACAUCUCUGCACUGUGUCAUGCCUCCCAGAAAUAUUCAGCAACCCAGUUGUAAGAAAUAAGAGAUUGGGGGUUAUAGGACAAAUCCAUGGAAAGCCAAAAGGAAUUGGAACUUGUAGUUAGGGUUUAAGGGGUCCAAAUAAAUAACAUAUGUUUCUUACCCAGCAAUGGAAUAGAUUGAGAGAAAGAUUAAGGAGUGUGAGUAAUAAAAACAAAUUAUUGCCUUAAUUGCUAUGAAAGGUGAUUAUAAAAUAUGACUUUUCUUCUGAAAUCAAUGAAAUUUCUAAUUCUUCAGUUCUGUCUUGGAUAUACCUAGCUGUCACUGGUUCCCCAGAUUAACUAGUUGCUGGUCUUUCAUUUCAAGGUAGGCUUCCUUUUAUAUGACAGAUCACAAAUAACAAUACAAGACUUGUUUCAAUAGGCUGGCCACAAAACGUAAGAGGUUAAAGCAAGAAUGCUCAGUUCCUUCUCUUAAAUUCCCAGAUGAUUCAUUCUCCUUUUGUAAGUAAAAAAUAUGUUGAGUGGAGAGAGAGCCAGAUAUGUUAGUAUAGUAAAAGACCUUAUGUGGCAAUAGAAGCAGAGUCAUUGCCCUUCUUGUCUCUAUUUCUUUGGAAUUUUGAGUCCACAUGAAGUAAUUCAUCAAAGAGUUGAGCUUAUUGGAGGAGGAAAUGAGGUCAUACUUUGGAAUAUGGAUUGAGAGAAAAGGAUUGGUUUGAGGGACUGAAUUAUCCCUCGAUAUUAAUAGGAAUAUAUUUGUAGUAAACUAUAAGGUAGGAGGCAGUAGCAGAGAAAGGCAUAGGAAGAAUUUUAAUUAAAUGAAAGGGUAUUUUUUUAAUUGAUAAAACAGACAUGAACAGGAAAGGCAAAUAAGUUUCACACCAUUCAUGUCCCUUCUUGCUUAGUAUGCCCACUUAAAAUAGUAUUUUGAGAGAACUGAAAAGACUAUCCCAAAGCCUCUAAGAAGCACUGGACAAUGGAGACAUUUUCUACUUUUUGUCCCUGAGAUUGAAUGAACCAUUGUCAAAAUGUUUACUACCUCUUUCUACUGGCCCCUGCCUAUAGGGGAAUUAAAUUUCCUCUGUGAAUGUGACUCACUUUAUCCAAUUAAAUAUAAAAGGAAGAGCUAUCAUGCAUGUCCCCUCUUGUGCAUAUUCAUCUUCCAGGAGACAACAUGACCCAGAGUAGAGCAACCCUCAAGCAACGGUCUGAAAAGAAAGAGAACAGAAACUCAAGCCACGAUUGUACCACAGUGGAUAUUCAAACUUACACUAUGAGUCUUUGUUUUUCUGUCAGUUUUAAGUUAGUUGUUUUUUAAGCAUUACUUAGACUAAGAAUAUGGAUAAGUACUUAUACCUGAGUUUGACAAGCUUAAAUGCUAUUUCCUUCACACCAAGAAGGAGAAUAUAAUCAAUUAUAACUCAUGACCUGCUUCAAGUGUAAUAAUAACUGAUGCUAAUAAGGAUCAAAAGAGUGACUCCUCAGUGACCAUCAGGAGCCUAAUUCUAGUCAUUCCAUUGCUGAUAAUAUUAAUGUGGAAAGUUAAGCAAAUGAACCCAUUAAGCAUAUUGAAAACUCAGCAAUAGUCUCAAAAUAGAUGAAUAACAUAACGUGGUAAUUCAUCAGGACUCUCAUUCUGGGAAAUUUAAUUAAGCAUUCUCUCACCUAAAAUACACACAAUUCAGUUUACUAUUAUGCUUCUUGAAGCACAAUACAAAUGAACUUUUUAUGAAGCAAGAGCAAAAAAUACUUUACUGUUUUUUUCCUUUUUACACCUAACAAAUGCUUCAGUUUAGGAAUGUCUCUAGUACUCAAAGAAAGAAUUGUCAUUCGUGAUUAGAGUAUGCUUAAAAUUUAUAAAAUUCUCAAUUGGCCUCUUAUACUCUAUGUUGCCUCUUAAAAAUACAAAAGAAAAUGGAUGAAAGCUGAGAAUUAACAUACAGAAGCAGAGACAUAAUAGCAGAGACAGAAAAAGGCAAGAAGUAAAGAAACAAAAUAAUGAAAAAAUAAUUAGUUGUGGGAAUUGAGUAAAUGAAACUUUUUUCAUUACAUAACACCUAGCUUAAUACCUUCUCUGUGGAACAUAUGUUGAAAGGCCACUUGGAUUACCUCUUCUAGUCUAUCUCCAUUACCCCACCACCACCACCAUUUUUAAACUGUGCAAAGAUGGUAAUAUGCAGUUUAUGUCUCCUUUUUAAUGCUUUUGCCAUAAUAUUUCAUUUUUAUGCUUAUUUAUUUUUUCAGCUAGAUUGCUCUACCGAAACAGAUGUACAUCAAUAUUUAUAUCAAUAUGUAUUAAUAUGUAUAACAAUUUGCAUUAAUAUGUAUAUGAAUUCUGUAACCUUAUUGUAUAAGGCUACAGAAUUCAUUUGGCUUUAUUUUGCUUUGUUUUUCACAGUUUGGAUGGAUUUGGGGUGAUAAAAAAGUUAAUAACUGGAGAGUUCAAACUCUGUUAAGUAUGUGUCUAAAAUUAUUUAUAACUUUUCAGUGUAAUAAUAAAAAGACCCACACAUUUUUUCAUAGAUUGCUUUUGUUCUUAUUGGUGUACUUGAUUAAUCUUGUACUGGUAUAGUCUAAUUUUCAAUUCGUUAUUUCUUAAAAUAGCUUCAAAUCUUUAAAGCUAAUUAGGCAUUUUAAACAAAUAAGCACAUCUUUUUUUACUAAUUUGCUUGUUUGCUCAUUUUUCUUGGAGAAAUUAAAAUCACCUUUGUUUUUAUAAUGAAAGUAAUUUAGUAUGAAAAGAGAUGAAGCUCACUUGGAGAUUUCCUUCUCUGCCCAGCACUCAUGCAUGGAUCUAUUAAACCUAAAACUGACAAUUACAAUAAAAUACUUAAAUAUUUAAGUAUCAUCAUCGCAGACAAAAUACUAGAAAUAUUAUAAGUAUGUGCCACAAAACAUACUACAUAGGAAUUUUGUAAAGGAAUACUUUUCAAGCACAGGUACAUGCAAAGCUGAUGAUUUCUGACAUUGUGAAGACCAAAAUGACUUGUUUUUUGAAUGUGGGAAGGAUUGGACAUGGUGAAGUUUAAAGAAUUUUCAUAAUAUGCUUAAUAAUAAACAUGUGCAAACAGAACUUUAAAUAAUGCUUAGCGUUAAGAAGAAAUAUUUUUGAACUGAGCACUGUGUGAACCUGACUGGAGUAACAGCAGAUAUUCAAUAAAGCCUUCAUAUGUAAUGGUAACUUUAGAAGAUUUGGGAAAAUGGAAUUUGGAAAAAGUUUGAGACAUGUGCAAAGUCUAAAGAAUCUCUCCAAGAGCUUCCGAAUCUCUUAGGAGUUCCUACACUUUGAUUUUUAGGGUAGAUCUUAAUGAAAGGGCAAAAUGAAUGAAUAAAGUUUUCCUAUUUUUAAAGACAUUUCACUACAUGCACACAGCCACCCACACAUAUGUUAUCUCUAUGUAAAUGUACAAGUACACAUACACACAUAUGUAGGUGCCUAUGUGAAUAUGCACUAGUCAUGUACUUACAUAUGUGUAUGUAUAUGUGAAUAUACACAAGGUAUUUAUAUGUAUUUGUAUGAUCUCUAAGCCAAACAGAUACCCUGAAAGGUAAAAGAAAAAUCCAACCUAUCGAUUCUGUGGUAUGUUAGUAUUUUGAUUCCCCUUGGCAAUUCAAAUAUCAUUUUUCAAGAAACAUUUUCAAUUAUUUUAAAAUAAAUUUUCAGCUUUAUUACAAAAGUCUUCUCACACAUUGAGGUAUACUAAAGUGUAAACACAAAUUUUAAAAUUUAAAUUUGACACAAUACCUAAAAUCCCCUUCAAAUUUUCAGUUCCUCCCUUGUCUUUGCAGUGAUACAUCCCAGUGUCUUCCUAUAGGAAACAUUGUUUUGUAUAAUCACAAUUUGCUAAAAGCUUAAAAGAUGACGUUUUUAGUGCUCCAUUUGAGACUACUUUAAUUAAAUAUUUCAACUUGGUAUUGAACAUUAUGGAACUACAAUUUAAAGACUUACUGUCAAAAAGUCAAACACCAUUUUAGGACAUUUAGUCUGAUUUUAAAUAUAUCUUUUGAAAAGCUCGAAAAGUUCUAAAAUCCAGUUUAUGAUGAACAACAGACAGAGAAGUUAUGUACUGCAAUGCUCAAGUGGUUUUUAGCAUGCAGUAUCAACUGUAACAAAAGUUUGUAUUUCAGUAACUGUCAGUGUAUAAAUAUAACUAUAGCUUUUACUUUGAUUUCAGAAUAUCACACAAUUUUGGAUAUAAUUAUAAAUUAUGUUUGUUCUACAAGCUAUUUAAAAUUAUUUCAAAUUAUUGGUUACUCAAUUAAGGUCUUUUUUUAACCAAAAAAAAGCUUUGUCCCAUCAAUUUUAAUGUUUAUUAUAAUAAUUUGAUCUUCAAUAUUGAACUUUUUAAAGUGAAGUUUUGCAGUAACUUCUUUUCAAGUAAUUUCUGAUGCUUCAAAACGAAUUUCCAACAAAACAGAAUUUUAUCACACAAAAUUUUCUAUGAAAAAUUCAAGCCACUCUUGCAUCUUAUACAAUUCAUUUUCUCUUUGGAGAAUCUGAUGGUACCAAUAUAAAAAUUGGUUAUUUAUAUGUUUUCAAAUUUCCUCCUUGGUUAAUGAGGCCAACACAUUAACAGUCAUUGUUUCAUGCUUUGUAUGUGCAGAGGAAAACUUAGAAUUAAAAAUGAAUGAAUAUAAUUUUUAAAAAGGGUCUCUGUUUAAAUAAAAUAUGUAGUUUCAUAGAGCAUUAUUGUAAAUGCACCUUCUGCUUCUGCAUACGUAUAAUAUCUCUUUGGGGAGAGCCAGUUUCUUAAAUUAACUACUAACUUUUGAAAUAAAUGCUAAUACUUCU